Molecule: transfer RNA, 75 nt
Filed under: Streptococcus pyogenes
Lineage: Bacteria; Bacillati; Bacillota; Bacilli; Lactobacillales; Streptococcaceae
Also listed under: 12 other names
Description: tRNA-Glu
Rfam family: tRNA
About the family: Transfer RNA (tRNA) molecules are approximately 80 nucleotides in length. Their secondary structure includes four short double-helical elements and three loops (D, anti-codon, and T loops).
Source: RNAcentral
UCUCCGUUCGUCUAUCGGUUAGGACGCCGGCCUUUCACGUCGGAAAGAAGAGUUCAAUUCUCUUACGGAGAACCA